RNAcentral lists this long non-coding RNA (1276 nucleotides) under Gossypium barbadense (sea-island cotton). RNAcentral's name for it is "long non-coding RNA (GBAR_LNC001990)". Lineage: Eukaryota; Viridiplantae; Streptophyta; Magnoliopsida; Malvales; Malvaceae. The record is from RNAcentral.
CCAAAACUAACAUUCAAUCACUUAAAAGCAAAUGAAAAUAAAAAAAACUUAAGGCCUAUCCCCUUAUUCAUUCGGCCGAACCUAAGGCUUCCCUCAACUUCGCCUCCAUAUUAUCAAAUCGGACCCCCUGAAUCCCCAUCAGAGCUUCGAUUUCAACGAAGCAAACAAGGAUUCGUAGGCUCCUUCCCAACAGAUAAGUGUUUAUGCCUUUAUUUAUUUUGUACUUUUACGCACAAUAAUGAAGAUCGAAGAAAAAAAUAGAAGUCAAAAUCGAAAGAAAAAAAAUGAAAUCUCAAAUCACCUCUUGGAGACUGUUUUUCUUUUUUUAUUCAAAGUUUUUGAACCGAUUUUUGUAUAGACUGGUAUGCGUAUUGCCUUUCUCUCCAAAAACCCCCUUUGCAUUCCAUUUCAUUGGCUUUUUAUAGCCGAAUAAAAAGAAUAAUAAUAAUAAUACAAGAAAUUUUCCCUUAGAUCUAUUUGCUGUCAAUCUGUUGCGGGUUGUUAGUCUGUUAUUUUCUUCUUGCAAGUUCGAUUGUACGGAGGAGAACGCUCGUGGGGAUGACGUGGAGGAGGCUUGGGGCUCUGUGGCGCUGAAGACCCUUGCUGAGGAGGCUGCAAUGUUGGUCCUAGGGUUUUAGUCCCUGAAACCGAAUAUUGGGCCAUCUGGGUCGAGUUUCAAUUGGGUUAAAUAUUUGGGCUAAGAUUAAUGCUUUGGGUCUUUGUAUUUAUGGAUUGUGGACUAUAUUUUAUUUUUAUUUGGUUUAUUUAUUUGUUUGUAAAUAAAUUUAAAGGCCCGGGCAAAAUGGGCCUUCUACACAUAGUGUUAUUAGUAGGCUCAAAUUGACAAUACCAUUAGUUGUUGACCCGUGUAUUAUUUUUAAAACUAGGGGCGAAGCUAGAAUUGUUGAUAAGGUGGGUAAGAUAUUUUUAUAAAGGGUAAACUAUAAAAAUAGUCACUUAUGUAUGGUUUAAAUUACGUUUUGAUCAUUGAACUUUAAUUUGUUAUAUUUUGGUCAUUAACAUUAUCAAUUUGUAAUGUUUUGGUCACUCUGCCGUUACUAGACGUUAAUGAUGUUAUGGAAAUCUGAUGUGGCUUGUUAAAUGCUGAUGUGGUUUCCAUGUCAGCACCACUAGGGAUGAGCAAAAUUUGAUUCAAUUCGAAAAAUAAAAAAAAUCAAAUUUUGAGUUAAUCUAAUCGAGUAAUUUGAGUUUCGAGUCGAAUUGAAUUUAACAAUUCAAAUAAUUUGAAUAACAAAUUGGAGUAAAUACCCUUUUG